RNAcentral lists this small RNA (611 nucleotides) under Pan troglodytes (chimpanzee). RNAcentral describes it as "retained intron". The stretch from base 336 to 450 matches the Rfam family "Small nucleolar RNA SNORD22". The record is from RNAcentral. Lineage: Eukaryota; Metazoa; Chordata; Mammalia; Primates; Hominidae.
CGCGCACGUUGGAACCGAAGAGAGCUCUGUUGUUGCAAUGUUCAGCCCACAAGACCUUACUGGUGAAGGAAUGGGACAAGACCCAUCUUUAUGCAAAGCCAGCGUUACAGUAAUGUCCCAGCAUCUCAUAAUCUAUCCUGGGGAAUUCAGCUGCCUCCCAGGGUGAAUACAGGUAUUCCUGAUGACAGUCUGCCUUCUAUCUUACAGAGCAGCUUGUUGCUAUAUACCAUUGAAAAGCCUUCAGAGCUGAGAGGUACUACUAACCAAUAACCUGCUUGGCUCAAAGGGCCAGCACCUUCUCUCUAAAGCCCAAGAGGAGUUUGAGGAAAACUAGGUGUCUGUGUUCACUCCAGGCUGAAGUUACAGUCCCAGAGCCUGUAAAGGUGAACCCACUGGGACUGGCUGGGGGAGAAGAGGAAGAUUUGUUCCAGAAGGAACUGUCUGAGGGAUGAUAAAGAUUUCUAUACAGAGAAAGGGAGUAAUAAUCACUUGUUGAAAACAUUGGUUUUAUUUCUUCCAGGUCUGAGCAAAUAAGGUGUAUAAAAAAUGGUAGGUAUCUGUUUAAAUAUUUAACUGAUUUUAUAUUAGCAACCUUUUGCUCCUAGGUUACA